This is a non-coding RNA of Microcebus murinus (gray mouse lemur), 639 nucleotides long. The record is from RefSeq and is a predicted model, not a curated record. NCBI's taxonomy places the organism in Eukaryota, Metazoa, Chordata, Mammalia, Primates, Cheirogaleidae.
UCUUUGCACCAUCAGUUUAGAGAGGAUAAUUCACAAGCCCCGAAGUCUUGCAUUCAGUUUGCCGCAUUUAAAAACUAUUCAGAGGAAUUCGAAACGACAUUAGGAGUCUCCAUCAUGGGUUCAUGGAUCAGUUAAUGUGAGCUCACUUUCAAGUCCGAAUCUAAAAGUCCAGGUCCUAGUGGGUGGCAGGCAUGCAGUCAACAUGUGUUGGAUGAAUGGAUUAAUGAAGGAUCCCACUCAAGAUACCACAUCACGUUUAAUUACAAUAUCUCCUCAGGGCCUUCUUGGCUGUGACAAUUUCUCAGACUCUCCUUGUUUUCGAUGACUGCGACAAUUUUGAGGAAUGCUGGUCAGAUAUUCCCUAGAAUGUCUCUCCAGUGGGUUUUGUCUGAAGCUUUUCUCAUGGUUAGAUUGGGGUUACCGGUUUGGGGAAGGAAAACCAGAGAGGAGGAGCGGUAUUUUCAUGAUGUCAUAUCAUGGGUACGUGCUGUCAUGGCAUCACUACUGCCGUUGACCUUGACCACCUGGCUGAGGCAGUGUCUGUCGGGUUUCUCCGCUGUGUGCAGCAACACUUAAGGGAUGGGUGUCAAGCUCCACAUCCUUGAGAUUUUCAUAAAUUACUUGUAAUUCUUCUGCACU